CGUGAUUUACUAUACAAAGAGGCUGACAAAUCAACGUGUUUUUUUUUUUCUUUCUUUCUUCUUGUAGGGUAAUAUAGGUUUUCGAAAUAGAACACUUUCUGAAUUACGAAAGCUAAAAUAUGCGAAAGCCAAUUCGUAGCAAAUAAAAAUAACAAUCUGGGGUCAGUCUUUAUUUAAAUUGUUAGACUUUGAGAGUAGAAAUAUUUUGAUGCAACAAUUUUGAAGCACUUGCCCGCUUUGGGGUUAGAUUUACACGGUGUUGUUGAUGCAAGGAAAAAUGACAUCUGACACGUGCGAAAGAAAGCAUCUCGUCCUGAUAAACCAAAACAAACCAAGAAACAGACAAACGCGCGAAACACGGCAAUGAUAACAACUCCAGGUUCGUCUUAAAAGAGGCACUUCCCUCAAGAUAAAUAGAUUUAACUAUAUAGGGUAAUUAGUAUAAAUCGUGAGUCAGGACUAAAGAGUUUAUUGUAUUCUCUUUAUGAUAAAACAUGUUGCGGAUAAGCUUAUAUGGACGUUUCUAGCGCAGAAUUCCUAAUAGAGAAAAAAAAUACAAGGAGGCGAAGCGACAGAGAGGCCGAAAAUGGGCUUGUGCUACACGUUGUUACGGAGCCACGUUUCUACGGUCUCCUCGUUGGCCUGUAACCAUGCGAUAUUGGUUAAUGUGCGCUCCUCAGACUGUUUGCGUGCGUUCUCGCUGGUCCCGGCAUCAGUCGACUUGUAAAACACCCUCAUCUAAUGGAAAAUAUAACGAAAAUAAGGGAUUGCGACGACAGCAUAAAGUAAUGAUGACGAUGGUAGAGGAAAUAAGAGUAUUGUCAUAGUAUGAUGGGUAAUUAUGCUUAUACUUAUGUAUUAUACAAGGAAUAACGAUGAGAACUACAUCUCACCAUGCCUAUAACGAUCAUGAUUAUAAGUACCAUCAUCACCUGUAGAUGUUUGUGGUGUUUGAAGGUCAUGAUUGUGAUCAUCAUUAUAAUAAUAGUGAUAUUGAUUAUGAUGAUGAUGAAAUGAUGUCUAAUGAUUUCUCUGAUGAUCAUAAUCGCAAUUAUUAUUUAUUCUUAUGAUAACGCUGGUGGGGAUUUAGAAAAGGGACCUUAAGCAAGGACGACGGCGACGGCUAGGACAACGAGAUCGAAAAAGACGUGUUCGCGCUUGGCGAUCAAUUAUAAUUUAAUUGCAAAACGUUAGAGUCAGAGACAGAUAAAAAUAAACUGAGGACAUUAUUUCUACAGCAGCGAACGUAGUUAGUGGAGUUUACAGAGCAAACGUUCGCGUCUUCAAUUGACCGUGAAAAUUGGAGAUUUACGUCGUGGUUUUACGAAAAACGGCUUAAAUGUAUCAAACAGAACGCGUUUCUACGUGCUGCUAUUGAAUUCUGAAUAAAAUCCCAUUGUUUUCUGCCGUCAGCGUCCGCGUUGACGACGUCGUUGCUUAAGGUUCCUAUUGUGGCGCUAAGGGACGUUGUGUCAUAGAUUUAUUUAACUUAAGACGAUGACGAUUUUGAUGUCGGUGAUAUCAAGUGAAAAUAAGUGAGAUAACAAAAA
Molecule: long non-coding RNA, 1550 nt
Organism: Nematostella vectensis (starlet sea anemone)
Lineage: Eukaryota; Metazoa; Cnidaria; Anthozoa; Actiniaria; Edwardsiidae
Exons: 2
Source: RefSeq, a predicted model, not a curated record